GAACACACCAUCACCACACACUUGGCGUCCCCUUUAACACAAUACCAUAUCACACACAGGUACAGAUAGUCACACACACGCUGAUGCUACCACAGUGGACCAUAAAUACAAUUGUGUCAAUAAAGUUUAUUCAAACAAACAACCGCACGUCACACCACAAUGGCGGCCAGCACAACAGUGACAGUUCUGACUCCCAAUGGAAGAAGACAAACCGUAAAAAUAUCACCAAACACACCUUUGCUACAGGUCCUCGAAGACGUCUGCAAGAAACAUGGAAUUAAUCCUGACGACUACGGUUUAAAAUUUCAGAGGAACGUUCUGGACCUGUCGCUUCAGUGGAGGUUUGCCAGCGUGCCAAACAAUGCCAAGCUGGAGGUGGUGACCAGCACCCGGAAACAGACAGGGACCGACAGCCCGGUGGGUGAAACUAGUGUGUGUGUGG
Long non-coding RNA from Oncorhynchus keta (chum salmon), 442 nucleotides. RefSeq lists it as uncharacterized. The record is from RefSeq and is a predicted model, not a curated record. The transcript has 3 exons. NCBI's taxonomy places the organism in Eukaryota, Metazoa, Chordata, Actinopteri, Salmoniformes, Salmonidae.